AUAUAUAUAUAUAGAGAGAGAGAGAGAGAGAGAGAGAGAGAGAGAGAGAGAGAGAGCUAUGGCCAUGGCGUCUAGGGUUCCGAUCUGCUUCUACAUUUUUGUUUUCUGUCUUUUCACUUCGUUUCAUAGAUUAGUCUCUGUUGCCGAAGAAGAAGGCAAGGUUGGGGAGUUUGUGGUCACCCUUGAUAACUCCAACUUCACUGAUACU
Telopea speciosissima is the source of this 208-nucleotide long non-coding RNA. RefSeq lists it as uncharacterized. The transcript has 3 exons. Lineage: Eukaryota; Viridiplantae; Streptophyta; Magnoliopsida; Proteales; Proteaceae. The record is from RefSeq and is a predicted model, not a curated record.